This 74-nucleotide transfer RNA is filed under the name Actinomycetes bacterium. RNAcentral's name for it is "tRNA-Gly". It matches the Rfam family "tRNA". From Rfam's summary of the family: Transfer RNA (tRNA) molecules are approximately 80 nucleotides in length. Their secondary structure includes four short double-helical elements and three loops (D, anti-codon, and T loops). Further hydrogen bonds mediate the characteristic L-shaped molecular structure. tRNAs have two regions of fundamental functional importance: the anti-codon, which is responsible for specific mRNA codon recognition, and the 3' end, to which the tRNAs corresponding amino acid is attached (by aminoacyl-tRNA synthetases). tRNAs cope with the degeneracy of the genetic code in two manners: having more than one tRNA (with a specific anti-codon) for a particular amino acid; and 'wobble' base-pairing, i.e. permitting non-standard base-pairing at the 3rd anti-codon position. The record is from RNAcentral. RNAcentral also lists the same sequence under 6 other names. Lineage: Bacteria; Bacillati; Actinomycetota; Actinomycetes.
GCGGGUGUAGUUCAGAGGUAGAACAUCAGCUUCCCAAGCUGAGAACGCGGGUUCGAUUCCCGUCACCCGCUCCA